Molecule: small RNA, 27 nt
Filed under: Bombyx mori (domestic silkworm)
Lineage: Eukaryota; Metazoa; Arthropoda; Insecta; Lepidoptera; Bombycidae
Description: ovarian small RNA-37102
Source: RNAcentral
UUCCAAGUUCCCGGGAAGUGUCCUGUG